RNAcentral lists this unclassified non-coding RNA (135 nucleotides) under soil metagenome. RNAcentral's name for it is "partial internal transcribed spacer 1". The record is from RNAcentral.
CAGAGUUGCAAAACUCCCAACCCUUUGUGAACGUACUGAAAAGUUGCUUCGGCGGGAGGCUCCUCAGGGAGCGGACCGCCGGAGGAAUCCAAACUCUUGUUUUUUGGCAUCUCUGAGUAGCUUAUAAAUAAGUUA